CCCGCUGAACUUAAGCAUAUCAAUAAGCGGAGGAAAAGAAACCAACAGGGAUUGCCUCAGUAACGGCGAGUGAAGCGGCAACAGCUCAAAUUCGAAAUCUGCCUCUAGGCCGAGUUGUAAUUUGUAGAAGAUGCUUCGGGUGUGGCACUGGUCUAAGUUCCUUGGAACAGGACGUCAUAGAGGGUGAGAAUCCCGUAUGUGACUGGCUGCCUUCGCCCAUGUGAAGCUCUUUCGACGAGUCGAGUUGUUUGGGAAUGCAGCUCAAAAUGGGUGGUAUAUUUCAUCUAAAGCUAAAUAUUGGCCAGAGACCGAUAGCGCACAAGUAGAGUGAUCGAAAGAUGAAGAGCACUUUGGAAAGAGAGUUAAACAGUACGUGAAAUUGUUGAAAGGGAAGCGCUUGCAAUCAGACUUGCGCGCCGUCGAUCAUCCGAGGUUUUCCCCGGUGCACUCGGCGGUGCUCAGGCCAGCAUCGGUUUCGGUGGUUAGAUAAAGGCCUUGGGAAUGUGGCUCCUCCGGGAGUGUUAUAGCCCUCGGUGCAAUGUAGCCUACUGGGACCGAGGACCGCGCUUCGGCUAGGAUGCUGGCGUAAUGGUUGUAAGCGACCCGUCUUGAAACACGG
RNAcentral lists this ribosomal RNA (619 nucleotides) under uncultured fungus. RNAcentral describes it as "eukaryotic LSU rRNA". It matches the Rfam family "Eukaryotic large subunit ribosomal RNA", at positions 24 to 664 of the family's 3401-position model. Lineage: Eukaryota; Fungi. The record is from RNAcentral.